Molecule: ribosomal RNA, 447 nt
Filed under: uncultured bacterium
Lineage: Bacteria
Description: bacterial SSU rRNA
Rfam family: Bacterial small subunit ribosomal RNA
Source: RNAcentral
UCCAGACUCCUACGGGAGGCAGCAGUGGGGAAUAUUGCACAAUGGGGGAAACCCUGAUGCAGCAACGCCGCGUGAGUGAAGAAGUAUUUCGGUAUGUAAAGCUCUAUCAGCAGGGAAGAAGAAAGACGGUACCUGACUAAGAAGCCCCGGCUAACUACGUGCCAGCAGCCGCGGUAAUACGUAGGGGGCAAGCGUUAUCCGGAUUUACUGGGUGUAAAGGGAGCGUAGACGGCUGUGCAAGUCUGAAGUGAAAGCCCGUGGCUCAACCGCGGAACUGCUUUGGGAACUGUUUUGCUGGAGUAUGGGAGGGGUAAGCGGAAUUCCUGGUGUAGCGGUGAAAUGCGUAGAUAUUAGGAGGAACACCAGUGGCGAAGGCGACUUACUGGACUGUAACUGACGUUGAGGCACGAAAGUGUGGGGAGCAAACAGGAUUAGAUACCCGUGUAC